CUCAUGUAUAAAAUGGGUAUGUUGUUAACAAACUUGAAAGAUUAUACCAAGGAUUAAAUGAAAAAAAAAUUAUGCUGGCUGGAAAGAGUCUUUUCUGACAGUUCUCUUACCUUGUCAGCCUGUUCUCAAACAGUCCCAUGUCCAUAGGGCUCAAGUUAGAAAUGUGGAUGUGAUGGAAGGCACCUAAAUAUUCAUUCUGUGAUUGUCAAUGCCAGAAAUAGGUUUUCAUUUUGCCUCUUCAUCAGCAUGCUUUGUUACAUCUGGCUUUUUAUUUGGAACAAAGAAUAUGAUACUUCUUAUGGCAACAGAUAAGCCUGCAUUUCUGGAAAUUAACCUUUACUUCUUAGGGAAUUAGUUUCCACUGAUACUGUAAACCCAACGCAAAACAAAUGAUCGUAGGAAUACUUUAAAGGUAAAAGAAAAGAUGUUGGAUUACAUAGAGACCAAAAUGGAGAACCAAAGAAAAUAUUCCAUGUCUCUUCUUGUCGAAGGGUAGAGACAUAUAACUGAAGAAUGUUGGCCUUAGGAGAGGGUAAAUGACAAGGCUGAUAAACUGUUCAAGACCCAGACAGUCAUCUCUUAUCACUGUCAUUUGAUUUGGUUUGGCUCUGGAAAUGUAUGCUUUUCUUAAACAAAGCAGAUUGGAUCUAUUCUAAAGUAUUAUCUCUGGCUGUGAUCUGCCCUUCUCUUUAAGCUGUGACUACAAAGGAAAGUUUGUAGGUGAUGGUUUCCUGUGACUUAAGUUUGAUGGAACAAUGUUUUUUUUUUUUUUUUUUCUUUUUGCUGUAUGUAAUUUGUAUUAGCUAUCUGUUUUUAAAGUGUUUUUUAAUCUAACAUCAUGAAAACAGUACUUUGGGUUCAACUUUUCAUGUGAGUGCUUUUCAAAAGGCAAUUUUAACACUUUGGACAUGUUUUUGCUUUUGAAAAGUGUAUAUUAUAUGUGGAACUUAUUGGCCAUAAAUAUUAAAGAUAUUCAAUAAAAUGACAUUGAAAUUUUGAUUACUUCUUGAUUUUUCAGGAAAGAUAUGUUGUUUGUAGACUUAUUAUUAUUAUCUUCUGGGGAGACAGAAAGUAUUCAUUUGACAGUGAAGGCAAGGAUUGGAUAACAGACAGAGGGUUAAGCUGAUGCACUUGACUCUUUUUUUUUUUAAACAAAAUUAUAUAUUUGAGAAGCAGUGAAACAGAUGAGAGUGAGCUCCAAUCUACUGGUUCACUUCCCAAAUGCACAGGAUGGCCAGGGCUAGGAGGGAACUGAGUCCAAGACUCCCACAUGGAUGACAGGAAUCCAGUUACCUGAGCUAUCACUUGUGCCUCCCAGGAUCUGCAUUAGCAAAAAGCUGGAGUCAGGAGCCAGAGGCGAGUAUCAAACCCAGGCACACCAAUAUUGAUGUGAGUGUCUUGACUGGCAUCUUAAUUGCUAGGCCAAAUGCCUACCCUGAGUCUUCAUUUUGAAUUUACCUUUUUAGUUCAUUUGAGAGAAAGUCAGUGUGAAGUAGUGGGACAUAUACAUUAUAGAAUAUUACAGGGCAAGAUGUGAUUUAAUUAAUUAGAAAACAUUUAUUAAACUUAAUGAAAAGAAUGACUGUUAUUAGAGCUAUCUGUAGCAUUCAUUCAUAUCAUCAGUCCACAACAGGAAGCAAAUGUUAGAAUGUUAAUUUUUUAAAGUAAUUUUAUGUAUUAUCUUAUUCUGUGUUUUUACUUUUAGGACCGGAGUAGGCCCUAUGACACUUUUAACUUGCACUCGUUGGAGAACUCCUUAAUGGAUAUGAUAAGGACUGAUCAUGAGCCUCUGAAAGGUAAACACUACCCUCCCAGUGGCCCACCAAUGAGUUUCGCUGAUAUAAUGUGGAGGAAUCAUUUUGCAGGACGUAUGGGAAUAAAUUUCCAUCAUCCAGGAACAGAUAAUAUUAUGGCACUUAACAGUAAGUCUUCAUGUGACAUAGUCUAUAAAUUUAGCAAUCAAGUUUGCAGUAUGUGGUUUCUACUUUCUUCAUUGUUCAUUACAUUUCAGCCUUCCAUAAACUCGGUAUAGAACAUUAUUCUAUACCUGUGGUUCUCAAAAUGUUGUCCCUGGACCAACAGCAUCCAUAUCACUUGAGAACUUAAUAAAAAUGUAAACUCUCAGGCCCUACUGCAGACCUACUGAAUCAGAAACUUUAAGGAUGAGGUCCAGAGAUCUACUAAUAAACCUUAUUGGUGAUUCUAUUGCAAGCCAAAGUUUGAUAAUUUCUGUUCUGUAUCAGAAAUCUGGCCCAGUGCCUGUUUUUAUAAAUAAAGUUUUAUUGGAAUAUAGCCAUAGACAUUUUUUCUGAGUUGCCUAUGGCUCUUUUUGAGUCAUAAAAGCAGAGCCUGCCAAAGGUAAUUUCUUGAUUGUUUGGCCUGUUGUAGAAAGUGUUUUCCAGUCCUUGCUGUGUACCACUGGGGUGGGGAGAUGAAGAAAUGAGGCAAAGUGAGAGAGGGAAUGAGGUAGAGAAUGUGAAUGAAUAAAUCAAUCUAUUUUGCACAUAACUCAGAAUUUUCUCAUUGUGGUUAAUAGCUGACAGAUGUUUUAAGCUGGACAUUCUGGGAUCUCCCAUUUUGCAUGGUAGUAGGUGUCAAGAGCUUUGCAGAUUAGAAAUAGUUUUGUUAGAAUAAUUGUUGAAUCAAGUUCUGGAUCAUCAAAAAUUACUAACCAUAAGUCAUUGUAUUAAUUACCACUGGAAAAAAUACUUAGCUUGUAUCAGCCCUACUUUCUAGUAUACAGUGACCCAAUAGCUUUGCAGAGCAGUCUAUAAAUCGAAAUUGCCUGUUGUCAGACUGACCUAUAAAAGUCAUUGAAUCACACGGGAUUUAAAAUUUUUUCUUUAUCGAAUGAGAUAUUAGUAAUCUCAUGCUCCUAGAUACACAAGCUGACUCUGGAUUACACAUGGAGAUAUACAGUGUGGGUCUAGAUUGUGCAUGAUACUAUCCCUUUCCCUCUUGCUUAAGUAAGAGUGUUGAAAUAUCAUUGGAAUUCCUCAGGACAGUUAUUAGAUUGUCUCUAAAAUAUUUAUUCCAAAUUUCCUUGGUUCUGAAAUGUAGCCUAUUGUGCAUUUUUUUUUUGUGGAGAGCUAGUAUUCCCUUCUUUUGAGGGUCUUGGAGGGAAAAUUCCAAAGUAUCCACCUCUCAUUUUCUUAUUUCUAAAAGAAAGAUCACUUUACAUUUAGAUUAUGCUACUUGGUAUUUUUUUCUGUAAAGUGAGAAUUAAUAAACAUGCUUAACUUGCUGGGCUUCAGCAUUGAUUCAUUAUGAUAAGACUCCAAUUAGAUGAUGGGGUUUAGAAUUGAAGGUAAAAGAAUAGAACAGUAAAGUAGUAUGUUUGUCUGAAAGAAUGAGAGUAUAUCUGAGAAAAUACCUAAUCUGACAUGAUGAGAGCUCUGCUCUGUAAGAGGGAGAGGAUAUAAUUUAUGGAUUUUUGUGUAAAAAUGAAGCAAAAGAGUAUCUCUCUGUUUAAAAGGUGUUGAUUCUUUGAUUUGCUUUUAAUUCUCUGCUUUUGAAGAAGAGAUUUCAUUCAUGUUCUUUCCACUUAGUGCAUACUGCUUAAUUUCUCCUUUUUAAAGUCUCAAUUCCUUCAUCUGUGAGAAGAGGACUGAUUAGGUCAUCUGAGUGAUUGUGUACAGCAUGAAGGUUCCGUGAAUCUGCAGUUUCUUUAAAAGUACCAAACUAAUCAUUUCGCUGAUAUCUGUUAUCAAAUAUUGACAAGUUACACAUGGCUGCUACAUGGUGACAGACAUCAAAGUGCAUCCAAAUGGCUCUGUGGGUGCUGCCCAAAGUUAAAGAAAUCUGUUGGCUCCUCACAAUAAACCACAAAAACAACUAGAAUUUGGUAUUUGCAUUACUUAUCAUCAGACAUCUUUCAAAGUUGACUUCAACUUGAGAUAACCAGAAUAAAAUUAUCCUCCUUAGUAGGUAUUGUGGGACCUGCAGGCUUCGACACAUUGGCUGUGAUAAAGCUUUUUUCCCUUUUGUGUCGUUGAGCCCCUUCAUCUGGUGAUUUACGUAUGUAGCACAUGCACAAACACUCCUGUGUGUUGUCUUGCUUUUAUGCCUACCAUUUGCUGGCCCAACAGCUAUUGUCCUGUGACUUUGUUCUUCAGUCCAUCAACCUUCAUAUGGGAGUAAUUAAGAUGAAAUCACAAAUUGCUGAAAUUUAUUAAUUCAGAAUUCGAAAUUAUUGGAAAGCAUAUGUUGAAGUUGAACUAUAUUUUCAGGAAAGAAUGGCUGGCUAAGAAAACUAAAGUAAACUAAGGUAGUGCUUAAAUUUUUGUAAAAAGGAAAUGUGAAUCAAUUAUUGCCCCUUCUUAGCUUUUUUUUGCUUUGCCAAAAUCUUCCUAACUUUUUCUACAUAAAGCUGCUAUUCACUUAAAAAACGAACAACAAAAAAACCCUUUCAUCCUUUUUUUUACUUCCGUGAUCUCACCAAAACCUGAAUUCUUUUGAAGAAAGCAUGUGUUCAGCUGGCCUGACUGGGUAGGAAGGGUAGAAGCAUCAUGAUGAGUGAUCACACCUCUCAGGGUUAUGUCACACCUUUGAAUGGACCAGUUUAUCAAUUUGUCUUUUUUUUUUUUUUUUUAAUAUUCUGGCGCAUGCCUUCCAGUUACACUUUCUCUGAGAUGCACCAUUGCUGAUGUCAUCUAGGUGACAGGAUGUGGAACAUGGGUGAGGAGGACAGUAUACCAGCUAUGGAAAACAGAUGGAGUUGCUAGUAAACCUGAUAGGUUUAGAGUGCUGGGAAAGCUGGCCAGGUUUAUGUAAAGCCAAGGAGUCUGCUGAUUGUUCCUGUAUGAGGCCAUGGAUCUAAUAAAAAUCAGCUGACUUUUGGGGAUAGUCUAAAGGUCUCAAUUUUAGCCUUUUCCCUAAAUAUGAGGCCCAUUAAGUAUUGUAGAAUAUAGAAGGGGAGAAGUAGGGAACAAACUGUAAUCCAUCCAUGAAACCUACUGCUUGCCUAGUAUUUCCAGAAUAAAGUUAUUUCACUUAAACAGAUAAAAUUUUUCCUAAGUUUUUAGUAAUUCUACCCAUUAUCAUUUCAUCUUCUUUACCCUGACCCCCAAAACACUUGACUUUUGCAUAAUAUAGUUUUAUUUUUCCUGCUGGAGAAGUAAGGAGGUUGCCGACAGUGCUUCUAGCUACAUGUAUGGUGAUAUCAACCAGAUUUUUCAGACAUGAACUUGGGUUUUUGUUUUUGUUUUGUUUCUUAUACUCUGGUGUAUAGUUGGGUUAGCAGUCGUGGGUAGGUGUAGGACUGAUGACUGACUUGGUGAUUAUUUUUUCCCCUUUCAUGUUGGUCAUUGGGAAACAAUAUUGGUGCCUCCAUGAUUACUCAAGUGAACCUAAUUCUGAUCAAAUUAAUGUUCAAAACCAUAAUGCCUGGCUUCAGUUUACUCUAAAAGAUAGCUACCUAGUGUAUCCACUUUAUUCCUUUUUACUGAUCAGCUCCUCUUUUUCCAAGUAGAAAAUGAGCUUGGGGAAACAGAUAAGUAAUAAAAAGUUCUUUGCUAAAAAUUAGAAGCAGAGGAAGUAGUGUGGCUUAAGAGAUAGCAGUUUUCAGCUCCAGCAAGGUAUCUUCCAAGUAGGCUUUAAGGCCUGUGAAACCUGCAGGUGCAGCAUUGCAUAGCCACAAAAAGCAUUGUCUGGAGUCAAGGAUUUCUGAAUCCACCUCUUACAAGCUCUAUAAAUGUAGGGCCACAUUCUUGACUUCUCUUUGUCCCUGCAAAACAGAGAUGGUGAUCACUAAAGUGGCUCCAUAUAAAUCUUACAGACCUUAGUUAGCAUAGUGCCGGACUUGUAUGUAGUGCUCAUGUGAGCUGCUGUUGUGAUUGUUUGCAUCAAUUUUAUUGCUGCCUUUUUAAGAACCUCCUUUCUUUGCAUGUGAGAGUUCCCAAAUAUGAGUUUACCUUAUAUUGAUUCUAUUUAAAUAAAUGUCUUUGUGAUGGAA
Non-coding RNA from Oryctolagus cuniculus (rabbit), 5953 nucleotides. NCBI's taxonomy places the organism in Eukaryota, Metazoa, Chordata, Mammalia, Lagomorpha, Leporidae. The record is from RefSeq and is a predicted model, not a curated record.